RNAcentral lists this small RNA (1047 nucleotides) under uncultured Pelagibacterales bacterium. RNAcentral's name for it is "bacterial SSU rRNA". The stretch from base 1 to 658 matches the Rfam family "Bacterial small subunit ribosomal RNA", at positions 867 to 1533 of the family's 1533-position model. The record is from RNAcentral. Lineage: Bacteria; Pseudomonadati; Pseudomonadota; Alphaproteobacteria; Candidatus Pelagibacterales.
CACCGCCUGGGGAGUACGACCGCAAGGUUAAAACUCAAAUGAAUUGACGGGGACCCGCACAAGUAGUGGAGCAUGUGGUUUAAUUCGAAGAUACGCGCAGAACCUUACCAACACUUGACAUGUUCGUCGCGACUUUAAGAGAUUAAAGUUUUCGGUUCGGCCGGACGAAACACAGGUGCUGCAUGGCUGUCGUCAGCUCGUGUCGUGAGAUGUUGGGUUAAGUCCCGCAACGAGCGCAACCCUCACUUUUAGUUGCCAUCAUUUAGUUGGGCACUCUGAAAGAACUGCCAGUGAUAAGCUGGAGGAAGGUGGGGAUGACGUCAAGUCCUCAUGGCCCUUACGUGUUGGGCUACACACGUGCUACAAUGGUAUCUACAACAGGAAGCAAAACCGCGAGGUUAAGCAAAUCCUUAAAAGAUACCUCAGUUCGGAUUGCACUCUGCAACUCGAGUGCAUGAAGCUGGAAUUACUAGUAAUCGUGGAUCAGCGUGCCACGGUGAAUGCGUUCCCGGGUCUUGUACACACCGCCCGUCACACCAUGGGAGUUGGUUCUACCUUAAGGCAAGGUUUUAAACCCUUGACCACGGUAUAGUCAGCGACUGGGGUGAAGUCGUAACAAGGUAGCCGUAGGGGAACCUGCGGCUGGAUUACCUCCUUUCUAAGGAUGAAUAAAAGUAAAAUUUUAUUCUAAAUAAUAUACAGGUAAUGUUGACCGUCCUCAUUUCUCUUCUUAAAAUAGUGUUUCUCUUGCAUGGGGGCCGGUAGCUCAGUUGGUUAGAGCACACCCUUGAUAAGGGUGGGGUCGAAAGUUCGAGUCUUUCUCGGCCCACCAAUUUAAGAUCAUGGGGGAUUAGCUCAGCUGGGAGAGCGCCUGAUUUGCAUUCAGGAGGUCAGCGGUUCGAUCCCGCUAUCCUCCACCCAAAAACACUUAGUUAUAUAAAUUCGUAAAUAAAUAAUAAUUAAUAUCAAUAUCUAUAUCCGAACAUUAGUAAUGUUAUUAGCUAAUGUUCAAAAAAAAAAUUUGAUUCAACACAGAAUUUUUUUAAG